This 200-nucleotide unclassified non-coding RNA is filed under the name Tricholomataceae sp. RNAcentral describes it as "partial internal transcribed spacer 2". Lineage: Eukaryota; Fungi; Basidiomycota; Agaricomycetes; Agaricales; Tricholomataceae. The record is from RNAcentral.
UUAAGUUCAGCGGGUAGUCCUACCUGAUUUGAGGUCAAAUGGUCAAUUAAGUUGUCCAAGUCAAUGGACGGUUAGAAGCUGAUACAAAUGCUGAUCAUUUCAAAGGCGUAGAUAAUUAUCACACCAAGGAAAGGGGAUCAAGUAACCGCUAAUGCAUUUAAGGAGAGCUGAUCCAAAAGAGUUCCAGCAAAAGACUCCCA